Molecule: long non-coding RNA, 879 nt
Filed under: Homo sapiens (human)
Lineage: Eukaryota; Metazoa; Chordata; Mammalia; Primates; Hominidae
Description: PENK antisense RNA 1
Source: RNAcentral
AGGCGGUAGCUGCACGUCGCGCAAUCCUGGCUGCAUUCGGCCCGCACGGUCGCCAGGAGCCCGGGGCCGAGCAACAGCAGCCAAGUGCAAAGUGUCAGGAACCGCGCCAUGGACUGCGAGGAGAGAGGGACGCGUGCUUCGAGCCUGCCUGGGCGCAGAACGGGGUCCCUCGGCAGGACCCUCGCCGCGACAGCCUCAGCAGGGGAUCGUCGAGCAAAAGCCCGCAGGAAUGCUCCUUUCUGGGGCCCCGCCCUCCCGGCCGACAGCUUUUAGGUAGACGUGGAGGCGACUCAGAUCGCCUCGCGGUUCCCGGGAUGGCGCGGUCGCCCCCAACGCGAGGCUGCCUGGGGCACCCGGCUCUUUUCCUGGGCGUCCGCGGCCCAGGGCAAGAUUCCGGAGAGAACGCCGCAGACCAGGGGCGAGAGAGCGGGAGCCGGGGGAGGCAGGACAUUGACUGGGGUCACAAAGAAGAACCAGGGAACGCUGUUGGGGAACCCAUGCAAUGAAAUGUGAAGGGAAAGAGGGCGGGCAGACGUCCCCAAACCCGCUCAGCAAAGACAAGCUUCGGGCAAAUUCACUCACGUUGACGCUGUUCGGAUGGAGCAGGCCAAUUGGAAAAGCCGGGUUCAGACACGACUCUAGAGGGAAGAGAAGAAGGAAGCUGAACUGACACGAAACAAAAGAAGUCCGUUGUUUUGGAUUGAGUUCCAUACUUGGCUGGCCCAGAGGUUGAUCUCACCACCAUUCAGAUAUCCAAGAAGAAGCCACCUGUUGGAUUUAAGAAAACCCAGUAAGAUGUUGCUACUACGGUUUUUUUUGUAUGUGUGUCUCUGCAGGUAGAAACCUAAUUAGCCAAUAAAAUGUACUUUUGCAUGAGAA